Molecule: ribosomal RNA, 890 nt
Filed under: uncultured bacterium
Lineage: Bacteria
Description: bacterial SSU rRNA
Rfam family: Bacterial small subunit ribosomal RNA
Source: RNAcentral
AACGAACGCUGGCGGCGUGCUUAACACAUGCAAGUCGAACGGGAUUAGGGGCUUGCUCCUAAUCUAGUGGCGCACGGGUGAGUAACGCGUGGAUAAUCUGCCUGAUGAUCUGGGAUAACAUUUCGAAAGGGGUGCUAAUACCGGAUAAGCCCACGAGGACUUCGGUUUUUGCGGGAAAAGAGGGGGACCUUCGGGCCUCUUGUCAUCAGAUGAGUCCGCGUACCAUUAGCUAGUUGGUGGGGUAAAGGCCUACCAAGGCGAUGAUGGUUAGCUGGUCUGAGAGGAUGAUCAGCCACACUGGAACUGAGACACGGUCCAGACUCCUACGGGAGGCAGCAGUGGGGAAUUUUGCGCAAUGGGGGAAACCCUGACGCAGCAACGCCGCGUGAGUGAUGAAGGCCUUCGGGUCGUAAAGCUCUGUCUAGAGGAAAGAAGUGUGGGGCGGCUAAUAACCGUUUCACUUGACGGUACCUCUGAAGGAAGCACCGGCUAACUCCGUGCCAGCAGUUGCGGUAAUACGGAGGGUGCGAGCGUUGUUCGGAAUUAUUGGGCGUAAAGCGCGUGUAGGCGGUUUCUUAAGUCUGAUGUGAAAGCCCCGGGUUUAACCUGGGAAGUGCAUUGGAUACUGGGAGACUUGAGUACGGGAGAGGGUAGUGGAAUUCCUAGUGUAGGAGUGAAAUCCGUAGAUAUUAGGAGGAACACCGGUGGCGAAGGCGGCUGCCUGGACCGAUACUGACGCUGAGACGCGAAAGCGUGGGUAGCAAACAGGAUUAGAUACCCUGGUAGUCCACGCCGUAAACGAUGAGUACUAGGUGUUGCGGGUAUUGACCCCUGCAGUGCCGCAGCUAACGCAUUAAGUACUCCGCCUGGGAAGUACGGUCGCAAGACUA